Molecule: non-coding RNA, 78 nt
Organism: Schistosoma mattheei
Lineage: Eukaryota; Metazoa; Platyhelminthes; Trematoda; Strigeidida; Schistosomatidae
Source: Rfam
AACUUUUCGAGUCCGUGCUGAGAUUUUGUCACACACCAACCCAUUAGGACUGAUCACACUUCCAAUAUAAGUGGAGUU